GAGGAAGUAAAAGUCGUAACAAGGUCUCCGUUGGUGAACCAGCGGAGGGAUCAUUAGAGAGUGUUAAAACUCCCAAACCCAUGUGAACAUACCUCUCGUUGCCUCGGCGGAGAGGGGACCUACCCCGGAAGGGGUUACCCUGCAAGGGGUACCCGGGUCUCCCCGCCGCCGCGGGCCCGUGAAACUCUGUUUUAUUUUGGAACUCUGAAUCUUAAAGCAAAUAAGUUAAAACUUUCAACAACGGAUCUCUUGGUUCUGGCAUCGAUGAAGAACGCAGCGAAAUGCGAUAAGUAAUGUGAAUUGCAGAAUUCAGUGAAUCAUCGAAUCUUUGAACGCACAUUGCGCCCAUUAGUAUUCUAGUGGGCAUGCCUGUUCGAGCGUCAUUAAGUCCAUUAAGCCCUGUUGCUUAGCGUUGGGAGCCUGCUGGCCACGGCCCUGCAGCUCCUCAAAACCAGUGGCGGAGUCAGUGUUUACUCUAGGCGUAGUAAUUAAUAUCUCGCUUUUGCAGUGGCGCUGGCGCUUGCCGUAAAACCCCCAACUUAUAGUGGUUUGACCUCGGAUCAGGUAGGAAUACCCGCUGAACUUAAG
Molecule: ribosomal RNA, 588 nt
Filed under: Xylariaceae sp. PSU-ES204
Lineage: Eukaryota; Fungi; Ascomycota; Sordariomycetes; Xylariales; Xylariaceae
Description: eukaryotic LSU rRNA
Rfam family: 5.8S ribosomal RNA (bases 230-383)
Source: RNAcentral